UACGUAGGGUGCAAGCGUUAAUCGGAAUUACUGGGCGUAAAGCGUGCGCAGGCGGUUGUGCAAGACAGAUGUGAAAGCCCCGGGCUCAACCUGGGAAUGGCAUUUGUGACUGCACGGCUAGAGUGUGUCAGAGGGGGGUAGAAUUCCACGUGUAGCAGUGAAAUGCGUAGAGAUGUGGAGGAAUACCGAUGGCGAAGGCAGCCCCCUGGGAUGACACUGACGCUCAUGCACGAAAGCGUGGGGAGCAAACAGG
RNAcentral lists this ribosomal RNA (253 nucleotides) under uncultured bacterium. Its description in RNAcentral is "partial 16S ribosomal RNA". It matches the Rfam family "Bacterial small subunit ribosomal RNA", at positions 524 to 776 of the family's 1533-position model. The record is from RNAcentral.